AGAGUUUUAAGUUAGGUGAAACUAUAAGCCUUCAAAGCUUAAAAAACGUGAAUUGUAGCGUAGAUUCUG
RNAcentral lists this transfer RNA (69 nucleotides) under Cucullaea labiata. Its description in RNAcentral is "tRNA-Trp". The record is from RNAcentral. Lineage: Eukaryota; Metazoa; Mollusca; Bivalvia; Arcoida; Cucullaeidae.